GGCGGGUUAGGUCGUCUGGUUCGCGGUCUUUGGCUGCACAUUCCCGGUGUUUUUCUGCUUCCAGGAGUCAGCGGGAUGCUGGGGUUCAACAGAUGCCGGAUUUGCAGCCUGGGAAUGCGGCUUCGGUGGCAGCCACUCCACAGGUUCCCGCGACGUCCACUCAGGAUUCUACGGCCCAGCGGUUCGGUGCAGCCGGGGGAUCGGUUGGUUUUGGCGUGACAAUGACUCUAAUAAAUAAAAUUGGCUGUGGCCUUUUCUAUCCA
This is a long non-coding RNA of Spea bombifrons (plains spadefoot toad), 263 nucleotides long. RefSeq lists it as uncharacterized. The transcript has 2 exons. Lineage: Eukaryota; Metazoa; Chordata; Amphibia; Anura; Pelobatidae. The record is from RefSeq and is a predicted model, not a curated record.